This 909-nucleotide long non-coding RNA is filed under the name Rattus norvegicus (Norway rat). RNAcentral describes it as "long non-coding RNA NONRATT024069". The record is from RNAcentral. Lineage: Eukaryota; Metazoa; Chordata; Mammalia; Rodentia; Muridae.
CGGUGGCCUUGGCCCAUUAAUCAAUAAACAAGGCUCCUAGGCUUGACCUAGUCGUCGACUCGGACCUGUCAGAGUCAAGGCAGCCGCGUAGACCACUCCUGAGACAGGGCGGGAGAACAUCGUUUGUCCUAGAGUUUUGCUAGCAUCUUUUUCAAAGUGAUCUUAACUUGCUCUUUAUGUCAGAACUCCCUGGACUUCUGACCUUUCACUACAGAAACUUGUGAUCUACAGUUGCCAGAGACGUAAACACACUUUAGGGUAUCAUCUACAUUAAACCCAGAGCUCUUCUCUGCUUGCUCUAAAAUGCUGAGGUACUGGGGAGAGAUCCCAAUACCAUCAGGACAGACCAACAGAAGUUCCUUUGAUCUGCUGCCUCGGGAGUUCCGUCACAGCUAAACCUAACAAAGUCAGAUUUCAGAACUAUUUUUGCUACUCAAGCCUCUUAUAAAAUGAGAGCCUAUGGUGACAGCACUCAUCCUAAGACAGCUGUCCCCAGGAGUCUUUUUUUUCUAGAUUAUUCCAGCCAGCCUCAUCAUCCUUACUCUCUUAUGCUCUUCGGCUGGCACAGACUUUUACAUAUUUUUCACCAUGCACAUUUCCAGCUGUUCCUUUCCUCCUUUGUGAUGGCAGCAAACAGGACCUGCCACGGCUGCUGGACGGGCAGCAUCUGGCUCUGUUUCAGGAUAACUGUUGGUUUGUUUGUUUGUUUGUUUUUGCUGUUUUGUUUAAAAAAGAAAAAAAAGGGCAUUUGAGGAGCCAGAGAGAUGGCUCAGUGGGCAUCUUGCAACUUAAGUGUGAUCCGGGGGACCCACAUGGUGUAAGGAGAGAGCCAGCUCCUCCAUACAUGCCAUGGUGCAUGCAUGGGCACACACACACACACGUAAAAAUAAAUUAUUUUUGGAAAAAGUC